GAUGAACGCUGGCGGCAUGCCUAACACAUGCAAGUCGGACGGGAAGUGGUGUUUCCCGUGGCGGACGGGUGAGUAACGCGUAAGAACCUGCCCUUGGGAGGGGAACAACAACUGGAAACGGCUGCUAAUACCCCGUAGGCUGAGGAGCACAAGGUGGAAUCUGCCCGAGGAGGGGCUCGCGUCUGAUUCGCUAGUUGUUGAGGCAAUAGCUUACCAAGGCGAUGAUCAGUAGCUGUUCCGAGAGGAUGAUCAGCCACACUGGGACUGAGACACGGCCCAGAGACGUACGGGAGGCAGCAGUGGGGAAUUUUCAGCAAUGGGCGAAAGCCUGACGGAGCAAUGGCGCGGGGAGGUAGAAGGCCCACGGGUGGUGAACAUCUGUUCCCGGAGAAGAAGCAAUGACGGUAUCUGAGGAAUAAGCAUCGGCUAACUCUGUG
This 437-nucleotide ribosomal RNA is filed under the name uncultured bacterium. RNAcentral's name for it is "partial 16S ribosomal RNA". It matches the Rfam family "Bacterial small subunit ribosomal RNA", at positions 28 to 507 of the family's 1533-position model. The record is from RNAcentral.